AUUGAACGCUGGCGGCAGGCCUAACACAUGCAAGUCGAGCGGAUGAAGGGAGUUUGCUCCUGGAUUCAGCGGCGGACGGGUGAGUAAUGCCUAGGAAUCUGCCUGGUAGUGGGGGAUAACGUCCGGAAACGGGCGCUAAUACCGCAUACGUCCUGUGGGAGAAAGUGGGGGAUCUUCGGACCUCACGCUAUCAGAUGAGCCUAGGUCGGAUUAGCUAGUUGGUGGGGUAAAGGCCUACCAAGGCGACGAUCCGUAACUGGUCUGAGAGGAUGAUCAGUCACACUGGAACUGAGACACGGUCCAGACUCCUACGGGAGGCAGCAGUGGCGAAUAUUGGACAAUGGGCGAAAGCCUGAUCCAGCCAUGCCGCGUGUGUGAAGAAGGUCUUCGGAUUGUAAAGCACUUUAAGUUGGGGGGAAGGGCAGUAAGUUAAUACCUUGCUGUUUUGACGUUACCAACAGAAUAAGCACCGGCUAACUUCGUG
RNAcentral lists this ribosomal RNA (484 nucleotides) under uncultured bacterium. Its description in RNAcentral is "partial 16S ribosomal RNA". It matches the Rfam family "Bacterial small subunit ribosomal RNA", at positions 30 to 507 of the family's 1533-position model. The record is from RNAcentral.